GUCGUCACAUCAGCAACCUUGUCAUCAAUUUUGUUGCAUAUUUCUGAUUUUACCUGGGACAGCUCUGCUUGCAAAGUUGCUGUUAUGGAGACAGACAAAAUGGAGAAGAAUGAAACAUGUGCGUAACCUUUUCAAGGACGGCAGUGAGGAUGGGCCGUCCGGCUCGAAAGCACUUUAGGAAAAGAAAACCACUGGUGCGGUUAAUACAGAAAAGAAGAAGAGAGGGAAAAUAGAUGAGGGGGCCUGAAAGCCGACUAUGAUGACUUCUAUAUAUAGCCGCUGCAGUGCGUGGUGAAGGCCUGCACCGCUAAGACGGCAUGCUCUUCCAGCUAAAGGGAUUUCACAGAGAAUAUGUGUGUGUCAGAGUGUGUGUAUGUACGCAUGUAUCUGCAUGUGUGCAUGUGUUUAUUAGGACCAGAGAUUACACUGAGUGGUGCUGCCGACAAGAGGAGAGGAAGAGAGGAGGAGGAGGAGGAGAAGGAGAGAGCUGUGUUGCUGCAGGAGAUGUGGCGUCCUUAAUUACAAAGCAAACAACCAGGCCUUCUCCCUUACAGGAUAAAUGCUUAUGUAUUUCUCUGAAGGGCUAUUAUUACAAAACUUUUCUACUCAGCAAUUUCUAAUAAUUAAAUGUUACAAAGACCCA
Thunnus maccoyii (southern bluefin tuna) is the source of this 643-nucleotide long non-coding RNA. RefSeq lists it as uncharacterized. Lineage: Eukaryota; Metazoa; Chordata; Actinopteri; Scombriformes; Scombridae. The transcript is spliced from 2 exons. The record is from RefSeq and is a predicted model, not a curated record.